UUAUGGGUGAUUUGCAAAAACAAGAGAUUAUUUAAAAUAUUACUAUUAAUUUUGUACAAUUGUAUCAAUACAUCAUAAGAAAUUCGCUAUAAAUACUAUAUAUGGUAGAAAAUGUCUGAUAUAAUACAUAAAUAUAAUUUCCAUAUACAAACUUAGGAAGAGUUUUUUGGGUUAACAGCCGAAAUGUGAGGUUACGGCUGUCAAGAAAGACUUCGUAAAUGUAAACAAAAGUUGCAAAGCCAGAAUUUGCCCAAUCUCAAAGCCUUUUUAAUUCCUAUAAAGUUGAAAUGUUGCUUUCUCUGCAGCUUUUUCUGCUUAAGUAUACUGUUUUUAACAUAAUACCACCAUAAUUCGGUCUUAAAUUUGUAUGAAAUAUAGUUUUUCAGUGAUAUUCACCAAGCAAAGUUUACAAACUUUUGUGAACCAUUCUAUUUUGUAUAAUAAAAAUGGUAAUGUGCUUUGCCCCGGAUUGUACACAAUAUUGUGAAAGAGGGAUAUGUAGAUUCUUUGUUGUUCCCAAGAUCUGGUUGAAAAGAAGACAUUGAUUUCAUUACUAAGGCACCCAGGAGAAGGGCAUGGCCCUAACCCUCAAAUAUGAGUAUUAUAGAAAAUUAACAGUUACCCAGGCAACCAUCCAAUGAGAAUCAUAGGAAAAUUAACAGUUCCACAGACAAUCAUCCAGUGACCACAUUGUCUCUUUUUGGACAUACCAUCUGACGCUUUCUGAAGAAAAUCUUGGGGUGUAAAUAACCCAGGACAGCACCGGAAGAAGCCGUCAGACCACAGGCUAAAUUCCUUAUUAAAAUCUGUAGCUUGCCUAUAAACAGAGACAGACUAUUUUUAUAUAAAAUAACUUCAUUAGUUCUAAAAUGUAGAUCUUGAAUUGUGACCAUAAUAAAAUGAGAAAAUAAAGUGUUUAUACUGAA
Molecule: long non-coding RNA, 926 nt
Organism: Diabrotica virgifera virgifera (western corn rootworm)
Lineage: Eukaryota; Metazoa; Arthropoda; Insecta; Coleoptera; Chrysomelidae
Exons: 2
Source: RefSeq, a predicted model, not a curated record